Molecule: long non-coding RNA, 403 nt
Filed under: Gallus gallus (chicken)
Lineage: Eukaryota; Metazoa; Chordata; Aves; Galliformes; Phasianidae
Description: lncRNA (ENSGALG00010026365.1)
Source: RNAcentral
AACAGCAUUUAUGUUUGCUUGUGUGUGUGGAGAACUGUUGGGGUUUUUUUUUGUUCCUUACCAGUACCACAUGGUGCACCUGUAUAGUGUUGUAGUGACUGAGAAUGUAAGACAGGCUGUACGGGUCCACAGGAGUGUGUGCAGUGUUGGGAAGGGUACAGUUGUACCUAUAGGUGUUUGAAGUGCCAGUACCAGGUGUCCAUGUUUCAGCUACAGAACCAUGGGAUGUAGACAAGGUGCAGCAGAGGUGGGCUUUGCAACACCGACUCCAGUGUACGCAUCACCACACAAAAGUGUUCCCCAGAGGAUACUGCCAGACUCAGGUGAAGUGCACUUUCCUGGUCUGCAGUGUGUAUGUGACCACUGAGAUGGAAACAGCCCAGCUUCCCGUAACUGUUCAUGC